UAAGGAAUAUUGGUCAAUGGACGCAAGUCUGAACCAGCCAUGCCGCGUGAAGGAUGAAGGUCCUCUGGAUUGUAAACUUCUUUUAUAGGGGAAGAAACCGGAAAAUUCUUUUUCCGUUGACGGUACCCUGGGAAUAAGCACCGGCUAACCCCGUGCCAGCAGCCGCGGUAAUACGGAGGGUGCAAGCGUUAUCCGGAUUCACUGGGUUUAAAGGGUGCGUAGGUGGGUCUGUAAGUCAGUGGUGAAAUCUCCAAGCUUAACUUGGAAACUGCCGUUGAUACUAUAGAUCUUGAAUGUUGUGGAGGUGAGCGGAAUAUGUCAUGUAGCGGUGAAAUGCUUAGAUAUGACAUAGAACACCAAUUGCGAAGGCAGCUCACUACACAAAUAUUGACACUGAGGCACGAAAGCGUGGGGAUCAAAC
Molecule: ribosomal RNA, 421 nt
Filed under: uncultured bacterium
Lineage: Bacteria
Description: bacterial SSU rRNA
Rfam family: Bacterial small subunit ribosomal RNA
Source: RNAcentral